Molecule: ribosomal RNA, 253 nt
Filed under: uncultured bacterium
Lineage: Bacteria
Description: partial 16S ribosomal RNA
Rfam family: Bacterial small subunit ribosomal RNA
Source: RNAcentral
UACAGAGGGUGCGAGCGUUAAUCGGAAUUACUGGGCGUAAAGGGCGCGUAGGCGGUUAUAAAAGUUAGUUGUGAAAUCCCUGGGCUUAACCCAGGAACUGCGACUAAGACUGUGUGACUGGAGUGCUGUAGAGGGUAGUGGAAUUUCCGGUGUAGCGGUGAAAUGCGUAGAUAUCGGAAGGAACACCAGUGGCGAAGGCGGCUACCUGGACAGACACUGACGCUGAGGCGCGAGAGCGUGGGGAGCAAACAGG